UCCGUAGUCGAAAGGGAAACAGCCCAGACCACCAGCUAAGGUCCCAAAAUAUAUGUUAAGUGGAAAAGGAUGUGGGGUUGCACAGACAACUAGGAUGUUAGCUUAGAAGCAGCUAUUCAUUCAAAGAGUGCGUAAUAGCUCACUAGUCGAGUGACCCUGCGCCGAAAAUGUACCGGGGCUAAAACAUAUUACCGAAGCUGUGGAUACCUUUAUAGGUAUGGUAGGAGAGCGUUCUAUGUGCGAAGAAGGUGUACCGUGAGGAGUGCUGGAGCGCAUAGAAGUGAGAAUGCCGGUAUGAGUAGCGAAAGACAGGUGAGAAUCCUGUCCACCGUAAGACUAAGGUUUCCAGGGGAAGGCUCGUCCGCCCUGGGUUAGUCGGGACCUAAGGAGAGACCGAAAGGUGUAUCCGAUGGACAACAGGUUGAUAUUCCUGUACUAGAGUAUAUAGUGAUGGAGGGACGCAGUAGGCUAACUAAACCAGACGAUUGGAAGUGUCUGGCCAAGCAGUGAGGUGUGAUAUGAGUCAAAUGCUUAUAUCUAUAACAUUGAGCUGUGAUGGGGAGCGAAGUUUAGUAGCGAAGUUAGUGAUGUCACACUGCCAAGAAAAGCUUCUAGCGUUAAUUAUACUCUACCCGUACCGCAAACCGACACAGGUAGUCGAGGCGAGUAGCCUCAGGUGAGCGAGAGAACUCUCGUUAAGGAACUCGGCAAAAUGGCCCCGUAACUUCGGGAGAAGGGGCGCUGACUUAUGGUCAGCCGCAGUGAAUAGGCCCAAGCAACUGUUUAUCAAAAACACAGCUCUCUGCUAAAUCGUAAGAUGAUGUAUAGGGGGUGACGCCUGCCCGGUGCUGGAAGGUUAAGAGGAGUGCUUAGCGUAAGCGAAGGUAUGAAUUGAAGCCCCAGUAAACGGCGGCCGUAACUAUAACGGUCCUAAGGUAGCGAAAUUCCUUGUCGGGUAAGUUCCGACCCGCACGAAAGGCGUAAUGAUUUGGGCACUGUCUCAACGAGAGACUCGGUGAAAUUUUAGUACCUGUGAAGAUGCAGGUUACCCGCGACAGGACGGAAAGACCCCAUGGAGCUUUAC
Molecule: ribosomal RNA, 1084 nt
Filed under: Enterococcus faecalis
Lineage: Bacteria; Bacillati; Bacillota; Bacilli; Lactobacillales; Enterococcaceae
Description: partial 23S ribosomal RNA
Rfam family: Bacterial large subunit ribosomal RNA
Source: RNAcentral